RNAcentral lists this ribosomal RNA (777 nucleotides) under uncultured bacterium. RNAcentral's name for it is "bacterial SSU rRNA". It matches the Rfam family "Bacterial small subunit ribosomal RNA", at positions 1 to 806 of the family's 1533-position model. The record is from RNAcentral.
UUAGGGUUUGAUCCUGGCUCAGAAACAACGCUGGCGGCGCGCUUAACACAUGCAAGUCGAACAGAAACUGGAGCAAUCCAUGAGUAAAGUUGCGCACGGGUGAGUAACACGUGGGUAAUCUGCCUCUGGGUGGGGAAUCACUCUGGGAAACCGGAGCUAGUACCGUAUGAGCCCCCAUUGAAUAAAUGGACGGGAAAGGUGAAAAUCGCCGAGAGAGGAGCCCGCGGCCGAUUAGCUACUUGGUGAGGUAAAGGCUCACCAAGGCUGUGAUCGAUAGCCGGCCCGAGAGGGCACACGGCCACACAGGCACUGAAUCACGGGCCAGACUCCUAUGGGAGGCAGCAGUGGGGACAUCUUGCCCACUGGGGGUAACCCUGAUACAGGACGCCGCGUGAGCGAAGAAGCCCUCCGGGUUGCAACCUCUUCCAGCAGGGACGAUAAUGACGGUACCUGCAGAAGUAGCUGCGGCUAACUACGUACCAGCAGCCGCGGUAAUACGUAGGCAGCGAGCGUUGCUCGGAUUUACUGGUCGUGAAGAGUGCGUAUGCGUCGGCCCAAGUCUGGUGCGAAAUAUCCCGGCUCAACCGCGAGGGUGCGCCGAAAACUGGCUGCUUCAGUACUGGAGAGGCAAGCGGAAUUCCUGGUGUAGCGGUGAAAUGCGUAGAUAUCAGGAGGAACACCCGUGGUGUAGACGGCUUGCUGGACAGUCACUGACGCUGAGGCACGAAAGCGUGGGGAGCAAGCAGGAUUAGAUGCCCUGGCAGUCCGCGCCCUGGC